This 381-nucleotide ribosomal RNA is filed under the name Triticum aestivum (bread wheat). Its description in RNAcentral is "partial small subunit ribosomal RNA". The record is from RNAcentral. Lineage: Eukaryota; Viridiplantae; Streptophyta; Magnoliopsida; Poales; Poaceae.
AUGGCCGGGCGAGGAAGCUGGUCGGUGCCGACGGACGAGGACGUGCAAUCGCGCAUGGUGUUCCACACGACCGAAGUCGCAGACCUCACGUCCGAGCUCGGCGCGUAUUAUGUGGUCUUCCUGGCGGCGCUCGUGGGAAUGACGUCUGAGGAGAAGGCCGGCGCCAUAGCGCACUUGGGGAAGCACAUGGCAGAUGGGGCGGUGCUCGUCGCGCGAAGCGCGCACGGGGCGCGAGCGUUCCUGUAUCCUGUAGUGGAGCUGGACGAUAUCGGGCGUGGCGGGUUCCAAGUGCUGGCCGUGCACCAUCACGCGGGCGAUGAGGUGUUCAACUCAUUUACUGUUGCACGGAAGGUGAAGAUAUCACAAGAAAUGAGUGCAUAA